AAGGCCGGCCUGGUGGCUUGGGGUAUACCACUAUUCGUUGUGCUCAUAGCAGCUGCAGUCAACAUUGAAAUCUACGACGGGGUCCUCAUCAAUUGUACAUUCAGCUGUCGUUUGAGUACCGUCGCUUUCUACGGUCUCUUCUUAACACCGAUGCUCAUCAUCGUCCUCUUCAAUAGCAUCGUAUUCGGGCU
Long non-coding RNA from Strongylocentrotus purpuratus (purple sea urchin), 191 nucleotides. RefSeq lists it as uncharacterized. NCBI's taxonomy places the organism in Eukaryota, Metazoa, Echinodermata, Echinoidea, Camarodonta, Strongylocentrotidae. The record is from RefSeq and is a predicted model, not a curated record. The transcript has 3 exons.